AGAGAGAGACAUGCGCGCAUAUCAAUAAGCGGAGGAAAAGAAACUAACAAGGAUUCCCUUAGUAACGGCGAGUGAAGCGGGAAGAGCUCAAAUUUGAAAUCUUCAAGGUUUUACCUUGACGAAUUGUAGUUUAAAGAAGUGUUUUCUGCUGAAGUUUUGGUAAAAGUUCUUUGGAAUAGGACAUCAUAGAGGGUGAGAAUCCCGUAUUUGACCAUUAUUUUCAGCUUUGUGAUACACUUUCAAAGAGUCGGAUUGUUUGGGAAUGCAGUCCAAAAUGGGUGGUAAAUUUCAUCUAAAGCUAAAUAUUGGCGAGAGACCGAUAGCGAACAAGUACCGUGAGGGAAAGAUGAAAAGAACUUUGAAAAGAGAGUUAAACAGUACGUGAAAUUGUCAAAAGGGAAGCGUUUGACACCAGUGUUGUUUUCCUCGAAAAUCAAUUAAAAAUGGCUCGAUUUUGUAUUGCUGAGACCUUAAAAGCUCACUGUACAUUUUUCGUGUCUUUUUUAAUGCACUUUUCGUUUAACAAGUCAACAUCAGUUUCUUUUGUUGUAAAAGGGUCAUUGGAAGGUGGCUUUCUUUUCGGAGAAAGUGUUUAUAGCCUUUGGCCUCUGCAAUCGAAGAGACUGAGGUCUGCAGCGUAGACUCUUCGGGGUUAGAUACAUUUGUGCUAAGUUAUAGCUUUUUAUAGACAACUUGUUGACUAUAAUUAGUCUUGUAGCUUACUCGCUUAUGCUAUUUUACCUACGCUUAGGAUGUUGAGGUCGUAGAGCACGCAG
RNAcentral lists this ribosomal RNA (776 nucleotides) under uncultured Neocallimastigales. RNAcentral's name for it is "partial large subunit ribosomal RNA". It matches the Rfam family "Eukaryotic large subunit ribosomal RNA", at positions 23 to 634 of the family's 3401-position model. Lineage: Eukaryota; Fungi; Neocallimastigomycota; Neocallimastigomycetes; Neocallimastigales. The record is from RNAcentral.